Molecule: long non-coding RNA, 5507 nt
Filed under: Sus scrofa (pig)
Lineage: Eukaryota; Metazoa; Chordata; Mammalia; Artiodactyla; Suidae
Description: lncRNA (ENSSSCG00000054207.1)
Source: RNAcentral
UUUUUUUUUUUGUAACCGAAGUUAUCAGUUCUUCCUGAAUAGGAUUAAGGUAGAUAACAUCAUGUAAUUAACAAGAGAUGCAGAAAAGUGAAAGUGCAAUUUGUUUAAGAAUUAUAUGAGGGAAAAUGAUAAUUUCUUACCUUGGACUUUUAAGGGAUACAAAGAGAAGCAAAAUGGAGCAAUUGUUUGAAAGGAUUAAGGUAGUCUUUUCUUUCAAAAGAUAAAAUUACAUUAGUACUAAAAAUUCUCUUAAGUGAAGUCUUUACAGCUCACUAACAGUCUUAGAAUACUUCUGCAUCUGCUGGAGAAAUUGGUCGUUUAUUAUCCUUUCUAUUUAUGAAAUGAUAGAUGUUAUUAAAUGAAUGAUCACAUCAGGAGAACUCCUUAGGUGGUCAGCACCAGCCUUGGGAACCGUAGUUUCCUUGGCGUUACUCGGGCACACAUCGGCCACAGCGGAAGCGGUGUGUGAGGGCAGAGGAGCACUUUAUAAUGCCGGAGUCUGAAAAUGUGGGUUCCUUUUUGAGUUACUUAGGAUCAGAUCCGAGCUGUACUUGUGACCUGUGCUGCAGCUGCGGCAACACCGGAUCCUUAACCCACCGUGUGGAGCCCGGGGUCGAACCUGUAUCCGGGGCUGCAGAGAUGCUGCGGAUCCCGUCAAGCCACAGCAGGAACCCCGAAACUUGAGAUUCUUUACCCUUUAAAGGAAAAGUUACUGGUUAUACCAGUUUCUUGGUGCUGUAUGUGUGAAAGAUAGGGUUUGUACUUGGUUUGUCAGGAUAUGAAUGAGGCUGCGUGUAACAGAAAACUCAGUGAAUAGUGACUUUAAAAAACAAGUGUUGUAUUGUUUGCAUAAGGAGAAAAUUCUUCAGGGUGGGUAGGGCAGUUCUGUGAUGUUACCAGAGAUCUUUUCUCCUUUCCAAGUUCCGGGCUGGAAGACGAGUGGGGCCGGCCCCGAGAGGCAGCCCCUGAUGAGCCUCCUUGAGGCCCCAUCCCGCAGUGCCAGCUGGUCUUGUAGUCCCCUGGCCACCCGCCUCAUCAAGUCUUUGAGCUGGGCACAGUGGCGGUGUCCUUCUAUUACGAAGGAAGAAGUGAGAAUUUAUACUGGGUAAGCAGUUAGUAGUCUUUUCCACGUGGCUAAAACUUAUGGGCAGAAUUUAAGUUGUGUAACUCCUGAGAAAGUGAAUCUGUCUUCAAAACAGAACAGAAAACAGCGAGGAAAAGUGGUGUUGUGAGCUCAGUGGAACCUGCUACAUGUUAGCUUUUUGUUUCAUGAGCCAUACCAAUAGCGGGCAGCGAGCAGCUUUUAUUUCGGACCUUAAAGAUGAGAAUGUUUACUUUUGCUCACGUGUCCAGGCUCUCAAGUUCUGCUAUCUGCCGAGGCACAUGGAGGCAGUUAGGGGCCUGCAUGUUUUCCCAGAUGGCUUCUCCCUUAUGUCAGCAUGGUCUGGCAUCUCCAGAGAACUGUUGUGACAGCGUUUGGUUCAUGCAUUAUCCGUGUCGUACUUCCUGAGCAGUACCUUGUAUCAGCUGCUCCCUUUUUCUACCCUUCUGCCACCUGGCUCUUAGGCAGGCAUUUGGCGUCUUGGAAGCGGGCUUCUUCCUGGUUUGAUUGGAUGCAUUUAUCAAUAAUGCUGUCUCUUUCCCAGUUGGGCUUCCUCAUCUUCACACCUUGGGGUGGCUUUCAGCCUCUUUGGGGCCUGCACGUGGCCUGCUUUGGUCUUACCUGGCCCCUGCUGUCCUGCACCUGGCUAUCCCAGGAAGCCACACCUUGCCAGUGUCACUUUGUUUCAAGGUGAAGCCCACAAAACCCCACUUUUUCCAUUCUUUAGUCUAUUGAGCCAACUUCUAAAGGCAGAAAUGUCCUUGUUUACUCAGCUUGAGUCAGCUUUCUUUCCCAGCUGUAGAUCCCAUCUCUAGUCCUACUUGCUUUAUCAAUCGCAGAGCUUGAUCAGAUAAGAACUGCUAAUUUCUUGACCCAUUCAAGCCAGCCAUGAAUUUCCGUGGAUGUCUGACUUUGGACCUGCUUUAGUACUUGCUGUUUUUCUUGACUCUGAAGUACCCACACUCACACAGUUACACAUACUGGCGUGAUUAUGAAACAAAGAGAAGAGGGGUGUCAGGUAAGUCUUUACCAUUUACUGUUGGUAACAAGCAGCGGAUGGCAAAGUGGGUAGGUAUCCGUGCUCCCGACAUAGUGACCUGGGGCAGUGCCUGGGCUCUGGGGCUUUCUCUCCUCAUAUAUUGUGCAGGCUGUUUAAAUGCUCAAAAGGGUUUUUGUGAGCAGAGCACCUGCCUUGUAGGGUUGCUUCCCGGAUGGAGUGAGACAGUGGAGGAGCUCUCUGCAGUGUGAGCAGCAGCAGUCGUGAGGGCUGAGCCUUAGGUUGGUGGCCGCAGAGCGGGAGAGGGGCAUUUGAGGUGCCCGGGCCUAGGUAAGGGCAGAGGGUGGAGGAAGAGGGUGGUGGAGCAGGGCUGAGAGGCCCUGGCCUGGUCCCUGGGGGUAGGGCUCUGGAGCUUAAGUCCUACUUAGGCUUGUCCAUCCUGGGGUGGAGGGCAGACAGUGUGGCCAUGUCGCACAGUCCUUGGCCAAGCAGCUGCCAUCUGCCAGGAUGGCAUUUGUAGCUUCUGGGGCAUGUGGUGCAAUGACGAGGACCCGGCGAUGCCCCAGGGCCUCCAGCAUGGGGGACUUGGCUGCAGUGGACUGACUAACAGCCCUCAGCCUGUGGCUCAGCACCGCGAAGUUCAUUUCUCACUCACAUCCGCCUCUGGGCGCCUUCUUCUGGCCCUCAGGGGCCUCCGUCCACUGGCAGGUGGGGAGGUUGUCUUUCCUCGACCAGGUCUAGGCUGCUGCUCACAUGCUGUUUGCCAGAACUUGGCCAUAUCGGCUGGCGGCUCUCCUUGUGGUUUCAUGAUUGUCACGUCUUCCAAGUGCCUGCUUCUCCAGUCCAGUCUGCAGCCAAGACAUGCUGGAGGAGACCCUGCCAGCUGCCCACCAGAACCGCCCCGCUCCAGCGCUGUUGCAUCACUGGCCUAGAGGUUCACUUCCUCCCCUGCCGCUCGGUUAGAGGAUUAGCUUCUGAUUGGUCCCGCCGCACUGGCUGGGCUCCGAGCGCCUGCCGCUCAGGAGCCCCGGGAGUGGGAGUCGAUGGCCGUGCAGGGACCCGCCCAGCCCCCUGCCUUUACCGCCUUCCUGACGCUUUCGGUCGCUGUGGUCUGCGUGCUCCCCGGCGGCCGGUGCUCAGCCUGCUGUGCUGUGUCCUGGAUGCGAUGCAGGGCCGGGCUUGCAGGCCGUUCACGCACCCCUAAGUGUUCGUCAGGGUCUGUGCUGGGCAGGGGGAGGUGGGAGAGGCUCUCAGGGAGACCGAGGCGGGGAAACGCCCAGGGCUGGGGAGCCCCGGAUCCGGGAAGGGCUUCCGGUGGGAGCGCAGAGUGAGCGCGCAGGAAGGAAACGCCCCUCGCGGGCUUGUCAGAUGCUGUGUGUCGUAUGUACUGUAUGUACCGUGUGGGGUGCUGUCUGCAGGAGCGUCGCGUCAGAGCGAUGCCGCGGGCGCAGCGAGCUUUGCUCUUUGUUGGGCCCCGUCCUGAGGACCGUGCACCGGGUAUGGCUUCUCCCCUGCGGUGGGUACUGUCUGCUGUCCCUGCUAGAGAGGAGGAGGCCCAGGCCGCAGAGGUUCGCCGGCUGCGCCCAGCAGUCUGGUCCGGAGCUGGAGCAGGAUGGACGGUCGUCUGGACUCUGGCGUAAAGUUCUAGGUAGACGUUCCUGAGGAGGACGCGCUCCCGGGGCUUCUGUGCUGUCAGUGCAGGUGCCACUGCAGCCGAGCAGCACGCGGAUGGUUUGUAGAAGGAAGGCAGGCUUGGGGAAGAGGCGAAGUGUUUAAUACCAACAAAUAUUUUAGGAGUUAGGAAUACUCAGAAUGAUCUCCCAGGAAAUCUGAAAGUGCUUCAAGACCCAAGAAGUAAUAUGCCCAGUUCUCAGGCAGCUGGAAAACUAACCACUUCAGUCUCUCUCUGAGUUCAUUCUCACAACCCAGGAACUGCGUCCUCCUAGAAAUGGAUGAAGGGGUGGAGGAGAGAAUGCUUUCCCUCAUCUCCGCCUGUGGCAAAGUAAAAAUCAAAAUUUAGCAGACCUUCUACUUAGCGUGGAGGGGAAGCCAGUCUGCUUUUCCACUUAGAUUUUGCCUUAUCUGUAAUGAGAAACCUGUCUUUGGAAGGACUUGAAAUUAACUGUCUACUGGAGGGUUAUCAAGAGCCCUGUUGCAGCAGCCACAUGACCGCUGCCGUUCAGAGCUGCUCAGUGGGGUGAGACUUGGGGCCCCGCAGUGCAGUCACGGAACCGAUAGUAACGACAGGCCUCCCAGCGAGCUGGGGUGCGCCUGGGAGGAGGAGUGGCCAGGAGUAUCAGGCUUCGCAUGUUAAAUGAUGAAGAGAGCCAUGUGUCUUUGUCAAGACAGACAAGUUAAAGGCCUCAUCUGAGCUUCUUAAUGGGAACAAAAUGAGGGAAGCAGAACGGAGAGUCUGCCGCUGCCUGGUCUCCGUGGAGCAAGUGCAGGCAGCGGUUCCGGAAGACCGUGGUGUGGGCCCAGCUCUGCUCCUAGCACCGACGCUGCAGAUGUCGACGCGUGAAAGCCACGUGGGUCCUGCAGGGACUCACCCGGGACAGAAGGGGAGGUGGGUGGAGCUGGCAGCAGGCCACACUGUGCUGCGGGCGGGGCGGGGGGGGGCGUGGUUGCAGCUCCCAGCAGCAGCUUUGCUUUACCCUUUGUUGGAGCUGGUGAGACACUUGAGUUAGUGGGAAGUUUCCCCGGGGAGCGCUCUGCUGUCUGUCCAUACAACACAGCCCUUAAGGACUCAAUGGAAUAGCCCCAUAUAGAUGGCUGCUAGUAAUUAGCAACAGGCUCAUGGUUCGUGCCGGAGAAUUCUGUGUAGACAGGUACGUGCAAGUGGAGAGGACAGAAAGGAAGUGAGAACUUGGAGAGCACCGUUGGGGUCACCUGGGGGACUGGGUAGAGGCGUCUUACCCUCUAGCAGGGUUGGAGAGGGCUGGCCGUGGGGGUUGGGAACAGAGAUGCUCCAGGGCUGGAAAGCGUCCUGGCCAGCAGGAAGAGCUGGCCGGGAAGAGGUAAAAACUCUGACGGACGGUGCUGGGCCAGUUGGGAUUAAAGGAGACAUGUAGUGAUUCUGCUGCUGCAGUCUGUAGAGAAGCAGGACGCUGGGGUCUGCCUGUGGAUGGUGCUCUGAGGGUUUCCUGAAACGCUGUUGGCAUGAGGGUGAAGCAGGGGCAGGAGGAAAUGAAGUUUCCAUGCCGAGGGGUUUUGGCUGAAACAGAAGCACAGAGUGAACGUUUCCCAGAGAAAUCAGUGGAAUAUGGGAGUUUGUAUGUGACGUGGUGGUUUCCAGUGUUCACAUUCUGUGUUGGCUCUAGACUAUCAUUUUCAUGUCUAAGUUGGGAAAAUUUGGUUUUAAAAAUCCCAAAUUUAGUAAUUUUGAUCAGAUUUAUAUCAUAUGAUUGA